RNAcentral lists this unclassified non-coding RNA (200 nucleotides) under soil metagenome. RNAcentral's name for it is "partial contains internal transcribed spacer 2 and large subunit ribosomal RNA". The record is from RNAcentral.
CUGUCCGAGCGUCAUUACAACCCUCAAGCUCUGCUUGGUGUUGGGCCCCGCCGCCUCGGCGGGCCCUAAGUCAGUGGCGGUGCAUCCGGCUCCGAGCGUAGUAAUUCUUCUCGCUCUGGAGGUCCGGUUGUGUGCUUGCCAUCAACCCCCAAUUUUUUCAGGUUGACCUCGGAUCAGGUAGGGAUACCCGCUGAACUUAA